AAAGGAAAGAAAGGCAAAGAGGGAAAAUGCCAUCAUACAUCCAAGUCUUUGAUGCUAUUAAUAAGGCAAAACUUUUAAACUGAGGUUGGUUCAUUAUCAUGGACCUUAAUAUCAAUAUCACCUGAGGGCAAAGUAACCUAGGGAACAUCCAAAAGGCAUGUAAUUCAUCUCCCCACUGGUGGAAGAAUAAGAGAUCAAUUUACAGAAAUCAGUUAUAUUCCUCAUUACUAGCAGCAAACAACUGGAAAAUUAAAUCUAUAAAACUAUUCCAUUUACAAGAGCAUCAAAAUAUAUAAAAUAUUCAUGAUUAAAUUUAACAAGAAUUGGAGUUCCUAUCAUGGCGCAGUGGUUAACAAAUCUGACUAGGAACCAUGAGGUUGCAAGUUCGAUCCGUGGCCUUACUCAAUGGGUUAAGGAUCUGGUGUUGCCAUGGGCUGUGGUGUACGUUGCAGAUGCGGCUCUGAUCCCGUGUUGCUGUGGUUGUGGCAUAGGCCAGCAGCUACAGCUCUGAUUAGACCCCUAGCCUGGGAACCUCCAUAUGCCAAGGAAAUCUCAAUAUUACUAAAAUGCAACGCUUUCAAAAUUGCUCUAUGGAGUCAAUAUAAUCUCAAUCAAAAUUUCACCAGGUUCUGGUAGACAAGUUGAUUCUAAAAUGUAUGUAGAGGAGAUGGGAUUAAGAUGGCAGAAUAGAAGGACUGGAGCUCAACUUGUCUCCUAAAAAUGACAAAAUUCACAACUAAAGACUGAGCAUUCUUCACCCAAAUGGACCAGAAACCUUAAAAAAGAUAUCCUACUCCAGAAGAAAAAGAGGAGGACACAUCAAGAGGUAGGAGGAGCAAUUUCACGAUAUAAACAACCCCAUACCUCCUGGGUGGGAAGACCCACAGACUGUAAACUAACUGGUUCACAGAGACUCACCUACAGGAGUGAGAGGUCUGAACCCCACAUCAAACUCUCAUGUGUGGGGAUCUGGUUCGGGGAAAAAGAGCCCCUGGAGAAUCUGGCAUUAAAGGCCAGUGGGGCUUGUGCACAGGAGCUCCAUGGGACUGGGGGAAAUGGAGACCCCAUUCUUAAAAGGCACACACAGACUUUCACAUGCACUGAGUCCCAGGGCAAAGCAAAGUCUCCAUGGGAAUCUGGCUCAAACCUGACUGCAGUUCUUGGAGGACAUCCUGGGAAAACAGGGGUGAAUGUGGCUUGUUGUGAGGGAGGGACAUUGAAAGCAAAGCUCUCAGGAAUAUUCAGCAGCAUGCCUUUCUCUGGAGGUGGCCAUUUUGGGAAAAUCUGGCCACUCCCCCUCAGUCAGCUGCUGAGAAGCCCCAGGGCAAACAACAAUCCAGGUGGGAUCACAGCCCUGCCCCUCAGUAAACAGGCUACCUAAAGACCCCUCAGGCACACACAGCUGCUUCUAAUCCCAUCCAGAGACAACACCCCACCCACCAGAGGGAUUAGAAUCAGCUCCACCUA
Molecule: long non-coding RNA, 1467 nt
Filed under: Sus scrofa (pig)
Lineage: Eukaryota; Metazoa; Chordata; Mammalia; Artiodactyla; Suidae
Description: lncRNA (ENSSSCG00060029109.1)
Source: RNAcentral